RNAcentral lists this ribosomal RNA (1406 nucleotides) under Microbacterium aurantiacum. RNAcentral's name for it is "bacterial SSU rRNA". It matches the Rfam family "Bacterial small subunit ribosomal RNA". Lineage: Bacteria; Bacillati; Actinomycetota; Actinomycetes; Micrococcales; Microbacteriaceae. The record is from RNAcentral.
CAUGCAGUCGAACGGUGAAGCCAAGCUUGCUUGGUGGUAUGCAGUGGCGUAGCGGGUGAGUAACACGUGAGCAACCUGCCCUGAACUCUGGGAUAAGCGCUGGAAACGGCGUCUAAUACUGGAUAUGAGCUGCGGAGGCAUCUUCGUGGUUGGAAAGAUUUUUCGGUUUGGGAUGGGCUCGCGGCCUAUCAGCUUGUUGGUGAGGUAAUGGCUCACCAAGGCGUCGACGGGUAGCCGGCCUGAGAGGGUGACCGGCCACACUGGGACUGAGACACGGCCCAGACUCCUACGGGAGGCAGCAGUGGGGAAUAUUGCACAAUGGGCGGAAGCCUGAUGCAGCAACGCCGCGUGAGGGAUGACGGCCUUCGGGUUGUAAACCUCUUUUAGCAGGGAAGAAGCGAAAGUGACGGUACCUGCAGAAAAAGCGCCGGCUAACUACGUGCCAGCAGCCGCGGUAAUACGUAGGGCGCAAGCGUUAUCCGGAAUUAUUGGGCGUAAAGAGCUCGUAGGCGGUUUGUCGCGUCUGCUGUGAAAACCCGAGGCUCAACCUCGGGCCUGCAGUGGGUACGGGCAGACUAGAGUGCGGUAGGGGAGAUUGGAAUUCCUGGUGUAGCGGUGGAAUGCGCAGAUAUCAGGAGGAACACCGAUGGCGAAGGCAGAUCUCUGGGCCGUAACUGACGCUGAGGAGCGAAAGGGUGGGGAGCAAACAGGCUUAGAUACCCUGGUAGUCCACCCCGUAAACGUUGGGAACUAGUUGUGGGGUCCAUUCCACGGAUUCCGUGACGCAGCUAACGCAUUAAGUUCCCCGCCUGGGGAGUACGGCCGCAAGGCUAAAACUCAAAGGAAUUGACGGGGACCCGCACAAGCGGCGGAGCAUGCGGAUUAAUUCGAUGCAACGCGAAGAACCUUACCAAGGCUUGACAUACACGAGAACGCUGCAGAAAUGUAGAACUCUUUGGACACUCGUGAACAGGUGGUGCAUGGUUGUCGUCAGCUCGUGUCGUGAGAUGUUGGGUUAAGUCCCGCAACGAGCGCAACCCUCGUUCUAUGUUGCCAGCACGUAAUGGUGGGAACUCAUGGGAUACUGCCGGGGUCAACUCGGAGGAAGGUGGGGAUGACGUCAAAUCAUCAUGCCCCUUAUGUCUUGGGCUUCACGCAUGCUACAAUGGCCGGUACAAAGGGCUGCAAUACCGCGAGGUGGAGCGAAUCCCAAAAAGCCGGUCCCAGUUCGGAUUGAGGUCUGCAACUCGACCUCAUGAAGUCGGAGUCGCUAGUAAUCGCAGAUCAGCAACGCUGCGGUGAAUACGUUCCCGGGUCUUGUACACACCGCCCGUCAAGUCAUGAAAGUCGGUAACACCUGAAGCCGGUGGCCCAACCCUUGUGGAGGAGCCGUCGAAGUGAUCGAU